Molecule: ribosomal RNA, 1372 nt
Filed under: uncultured bacterium
Lineage: Bacteria
Description: bacterial SSU rRNA
Rfam family: Bacterial small subunit ribosomal RNA
Source: RNAcentral
GAUGAACGCUGGCGGCGUGCCUAAUACAUGCAAGUCGAGCGAACGGACGAGAAGCUUGCUUCUCUGAUGUUAGCGGCGGACGGGUGAGUAACACGUGGAUAACCUACCUAUAAGACUGGGAUAACUUCGGGAAACCGGAGCUAAUACCGGAUAAUAUUUUGAACCGCAUGGUUCAAAAGUGAAAGACGGUCUUGCUGUCACUUAUAGAUGGAUCCGCGCUGCAUUAGCUAGUUGGUAAGGUAACGGCUUACCAAGGCAACGAUGCAUAGCCGACCUGAGAGGGUGAUCGGCCACACUGGAACUGAGACACGGUCCAGACUCCUACGGGAGGCAGCAGUAGGGAAUCUUCCGCAAUGGGCGAAAGCCUGACGGAGCAACGCCGCGUGAGUGAUGAAAGUCUUCGGAUCGUAAAACUCUGUUAUUAGGGAAGAACAUAUGUGUAAGUAACUGUGCACAUCUUGACGGUACCUAAUCAGAAAGCCACGGCUAACUACGUGCCAGCAGCCGCGGUAAUACGUAGGUGGCAAGCGUUAUCCGGAAUUAUUGGGCGUAAAGCGCGCGUAGGCGGUUUUUUAAGUCUGAUGUGAAAGCCCACGGCUCAACCGUGGAGGGUCAUUGGAAACUGGAAAACUUGAGUGCAGAAGAGGAAAGUGGAAUUCCAUGUGUAGCGGUGAAAUGCGCAGAGAUAUGGAGGAACACCAGUGGCGAAGGCGACUUUCUGGUCUGUAACUGACGCUGAUGUGCGAAAGCGUGGGGAUCAAACAGGAUUAGAUACCCUGGUAGUCCACGCCGUAAACGAUGAGUGCUAAGUGUUAGGGGGUUUCCGCCCCUUAGUGCUGCAGCUAACGCAUUAAGCACUCCGCCUGGGGAGUACGACCGCAAGGUUGAAACUCAAAGGAAUUGACGGGGACCCGCACAAGCGGUGGAGCAUGUGGUUUAAUUCGAAGCAACGCGAAGAACCUUACCAAAUCUUGACAUCCUUUGACAACUCUAGAGAUAGAGCUUUCCCCUUCGGGGGACAAAGUGACAGGUGGUGCAUGGUUGUCGUCAGCUCGUGUCGUGAGAUGUUGGGUUAAGUCCCGCAACGAGCGCAACCCUUAAGCUUAGUUGCCAUCAUUAAGUUGGGCACUCUAAGUUGACUGCCGGUGACAAACCGGAGGAAGGUGGGGAUGACGUCAAAUCAUCAUGCCCCUUAUGAUUUGGGCUACACACGUGCUACAAUGGACAAUACAAAGGGCAGCGAAACCGUGAGGUCAAGCAAAUCCCAUAAAGUUGUUCUCAGUUCGGAUUGUAGUCUGCAACUCGACUACAUGAAGCUGGAAUCGCUAGUAAUCGUAGAUCAGCAUGCUACGGUGAAUACGUUCCCGGGUCU